GGUGAGGUGUCCGAGUGGCUAAAGGAGCACGCCUGGAAAGUGUGUAUAUACUAAAAGUGUAUCGAGGGUUCGAAUCCCUCCCUCACCG
Molecule: transfer RNA, 88 nt
Filed under: Candidatus Mikella endobia
Lineage: Bacteria; Pseudomonadati; Pseudomonadota; Gammaproteobacteria; Enterobacterales; Enterobacteriaceae
Description: tRNA-Ser
Rfam family: tRNA
About the family: Transfer RNA (tRNA) molecules are approximately 80 nucleotides in length. Their secondary structure includes four short double-helical elements and three loops (D, anti-codon, and T loops).
Source: RNAcentral